AACUUGCUCCACCUGUGUUUGUCCAAGGGGAUGUUACAGAAGUCCCAUGGCAGCCCUUCCCUGGAGGUCCAGUGGUUAAGACUCACUCUGCACUUCCACUGCAGGGGACACAGGUUCAAGGUUCAAUCUCUAGUCGGGGAACUAAUAUCCCACAUGCUAUGCAACUCGGCCAAAAUAAGUAAGCAAAUAAUCGCACACGUGUGCUUAGUCAUGGCUGACUCUGCGACCUUAUGGUGGCAUAUGUAGCCCACCAGGCUCUCUUGUCCAUGGGAUUUUGCAGACAAGAAUACUAGAGUGGGUUGCCAUUUUCUUCUCCAGGGUAUCUUCCUGACCCAGGGAUUGAACCCAUGUCUUCUGUGUCUCCUGUAUUGCAGGCAGAUUCUUUACCACUUGAGCCAUCAGGGAAGCCCAAGUAAAUAAAUAAGUAGAUAUGUAAGUAGGUCCUGUGGGAUCAGUGUGCAUAGCCAGAAACAACAAUCUAAUCUAGAAUAGGGAUUUACAUGUAAUGUGGUUGCCAGAAGCCCCACAACCUACCCCAGAGUGCUGUUUCCUUUCAAAGGCAUUAGAGCCGUAGUCUUGAUGUCAAGUCAGCCUGAUUCAGUAAGGCAGUUUGGGUGCAGUUUAGAAGUCAGGUAAACAGUUUCCUAUCUGAAAAAAAACAGUACCUGGACGCCUACUUGGCACUAGACCCUAUGUGAGCUGCUAGACCAACAAAGGUUUUUUGGUGAUGGCCAUUCUGAUCAGUGUGAGGUGAUACUUCUGAAGGAGACAAGGGUUCGAUCCUUGAUCUGGGAAAAUCCCGCAUGCCACGGAGCAGCUAAGCCGGUGCGCCGCAACUAUUGAGCCCGUGCUCCAGAGCCCAGGGACCACAACUGCUGAGCCCAGGUGCCCCCACUACCGAAGCUGUGUGCCCUAGAGCUGGUGCUCUGCAACAACAGAAGCCACUGCAGUGAGAAGCCUGAGCACCGCAGCUACAGAAAAGCCUGCAUGGCCACGAAGACCCAGCACAGCCCCAAAUAAAUACUUUUUUAACAAGGUGACACCAGUUGGAUCCCUGAUCUGGGAAGAUCCCACAUGCCAUGGAGCAGCUAAGCCGGUGCGCCACAGUUGUUGAGCCUGUGCUCUAAAGCCCGGGAGCCACAACUACCGAGCCCAUGUGCCACAACUACUGAAGCCUGUACACCCUAGAGCCUGUGCUCUGCAACAAGAGAAGCCGCUGCAACGAGAAGCCCACGCAGUGAAACUAGAGUAGCCCCUGCUCGCUGCAACUAGAGAAAGGCCACCCACAGCAGAAAAAAACUAACAGAGCCAAAAAUAAAAAUUAAUUUAAAAAAAUCUACACACAAUCGAAUGUAUCACUCUUUUUCUUGAUGCCUCUUCUUUUUGUGGCAUAAAAGUGUUCGUUUUUAUCUUGACCUUUUCUGCAGCUUCCUACUCACUUGUUAAUUUAUUGUCUCCUGCCCAUAAAUUCAUUGCUUCUGCCUAAGUUAACCAAAGUUAGUUUUCUGUUGGUCCUGUUAGAACCAAG
This is a long non-coding RNA of Bos taurus (domestic cattle), 1528 nucleotides long. Lineage: Eukaryota; Metazoa; Chordata; Mammalia; Artiodactyla; Bovidae. The record is from Ensembl.